This is a non-coding RNA of Gasterosteus aculeatus aculeatus (three-spined stickleback), 3432 nucleotides long. The record is from RefSeq and is a predicted model, not a curated record. Lineage: Eukaryota; Metazoa; Chordata; Actinopteri; Perciformes; Gasterosteidae.
ACGACGGGAGGGAUGAUGAAUGAACCCGACGUUCCCUCAGAUAUUGGCGACACCGUGAAGGCCGUCUGGCCUUUUUCACAAGCGUAACGUCGAUGCAAAUUCAUGGCUGUGGCGCUGAAUCACGCCCCCACAGCACGCUGCUCAGUCAGUUACUGCCCCCCCUCCCCCCUCGCAUACAUGAGACCAUGUUGGAGGCUACGGCUCCGGGAGCCAGUUGUCAUGUCACACCGUUCCGCUCCGUUGUAAUGAGUGAUACCACACCUCUCUCCGCGGAUCCGUCGCAAUAUAUAUGACAUCACACGGCCUCCUCUCGUUCCCUCCGGAUUCAAUUCCCUCCCCGUGCAAAGCCCACCCCCCUGCCCCCCCGUCCAAAGAUCGGACGGCUGUGCAGCCAACUCCGACAGGCCUGUGAAAGUCAUUCCGCCCCCUUCGACUUCCCGUUGACUUUGGUGUUAAAUCAGUGGAUUCCAGCACAUCAGCAGCUGUUGAAAUAAUCGAGGAGAAGAAGCCGACUAGAGAAAGAGGAGGAAACAGGAAGUGGACAUAGCGAUGCCGUGUUCAGUAACGAGUCACCAAUGACCCGAUGAUCACAUGAAGAUUGCGGGCUGAUAUCCGCCACGUCUGGCAUAUGACAUCUAAAGGACGGAUGGACGCUCCGUUACCUCGAAGCGCCUCUCAGGUGUUUGUCUUUCUCAUCGCCGUUCAUAGCGAAGAUCUAAGCACGAGAUUUCUUCACCACAAUGAAACACUAUACUGUCUGUUGCCUCCCCGCCUGAAGAUAUAGAGGCUUGGAUAUAAAAAAAAAAACGGAUUAAACAGCUUGUCACGACAUACUGUUGUCUUGGUAAACGUAAUACAUCAUGUUGAACAGCCUGUGCACUUCUCCCUCCACCAUAUUGUGUUCUCGCGUUCCUUGAAUGCUUGAUCUGAGUUCUUCUGUCACUCAUCAAACAGUAAGUCCACAGCACAAAACGUCGCAUUGUGAAACUUCCACAGCUGCGCGACUUCUAAUCUUUCACCUCUGUCAUCCUCAGUUUUCUAUGCCGCAACGCCACGAGGAUUUUUGUAUUUUUUUGUAGGAGGUUCAAGCGUCCGAUUGGGAUGUCUCCUGACAUCCUUCUUCCAGAGGUUCUCCAGGCGUGUCCAACGGUAACGAGGGGCCCGGGGCAUCGGGCCUGAGGACAUCCUGGAGCUGUAGGACGUGUGGACCACAACAGACCAGAAUAGCAACCACAAUCAGAACAUCCAGCAUGACAGCCGUGGCAGACGCUCGCCAGUCCGCCUGUACUAAUUGGCCGGCUUACAUGCUGUUAUUUCCACCUCUGUAUAAAAAGCCUAUUUUUUCUCUGGGUUUCGCCGAAAGCCUUUAGGGGAACAGGAAGUCACAAGCUGGAGCAGAAGUCGAUGGCGGUCGGCGUAAAACGGGUCCCCCAUAGAAGCGGCAUAGCUACAAUCACAGGAACGUCACCUGUUGAUGAUGAUUGACAGUGUAAGAAUACCUGAGGGUGGAUUAUUCCGUUACAAGAUAAUGCCCAGUGAUGCCGGCGCAGCCGCCAUUAAAGAUGCAUCAGCCAGGUUUGUUUGAUCCGGCUGGGAUUUGAUGGUGAAACGUCUUUGUUGUACUUGUGGCGGGAGGUCCUCGGCAUCUCCACAUCCAGCUGUGAUAUUGUAUUUGCUGUGUUGUUGUAAUGGAGAGCACAUGUAACCGGAGUUAAUGCAUAAGCAUAAAAAGAGAAUAAAGCUUUAGAUUCUGAGUCACAUUCAAUAAGUCUGCUGUUAUCCAAGCAAAGGUUUUUCACUAAUGGAUUCAGUAUUUCAUAAGUUUGAAACCGUUUUGAGAACCCUAAAUAAAUUACACCUUUUGAUAGUGUUGACAUUAUACAUUUCGAUGCAAAAUAAAGGCGAAUAUAAUCCCAAAAGUAUCCAUAAUAUAACCUAGCCUGCCAUUCUACUACAAUAUGAAUAUCUCAAUAUGCUAAACAACCGUAAUUAUUUAAACCCUCGCCUGUUGCAGUCAUCGACCGCCUUUAUGCCAUUCCUCGGAUAUGAGAGGUCCCUUCCCUUCGCUCUCAAUAUCUAUUGAUUUUCUCUUCAUGGAUCUCAACAUAGGUUGUAUGGGGCACUCUGCGUGUGUUAUUGUGAAGGUACAUGCAGCUUCCAUCAUGUUUAAUGGAUGUUAACACGGUUUAUAAGGGAAGAGGGUCUGCUGAAGCCGACGUGGCACAUGCCGCCUGCUGUAAAAGAAGUACAAUAAAAUAGUGAAAAUGUUCUUGCGGAAGGUCCGUCUAAUGCGUUCACUGUGUUGAACUGAAGACGGUUGCGGCGCGGGCUACUGCUGUUACCAGGGAGACGCCUGAUGACAGCGGCGAUCAGUGUCAACCUGAUAGCUUUAAAUAAAUGAUUCUCCCAUCAGUCACAAAGAGCUCGGCCCAGUCCUACAGAUGUCAUUCCCAGUAUCAGAAGAACAAGAACAUAAAACUUUAGUUGACGGUGUGUUGCUCUUUAAAAUCAUGAGUUGGUUAUUUUGGGUACACUCAACUUAUAAUCAAUGAUAUUAAAGAUACAAUGUUUUUAACAAAAGGGUCACACAGCUGGAACAUAGAAAACCAAGCUCAUGUAUUUAGUAAAUCUGAAUGUAAUGGAUUUAUUGGAAAGGAUAUUAAUCACACAUGAACUCGUCCUGAUACGACGUGCCACAAUUCUCUGGGAAACUUAACUGUAAUUUAAAUGAAAUAAAAACCCUAAGCAUUGAAAAAAGGUAGUUAUUAAUGUAUGUUAAUUUCGUUUACAUUAUGCUUUAAUGAACAUAAUAAUGUAGUAUAACAGACCUGGCUGUAAUAAGUAUAUUAGCUUUGCAAACACAAUUAUCAUUGUAUUUUUAUUCAUAUGUAUUUUUGAGAUACUCAUUGUUCUGAAACCGUGAUUGUCGAUGUUUUUAUUGAAUGGCAUCAUAACAAAAACGCUAUGUUGUUGGCCACGUUACCAUGAACAGAAACCAAUUAGGUUGCAGUUUUCUAUUUUCGGAGCAAACAAAAGGCCUCGGACAAACGUUGUUGAACUGCUCUAAGACAAAUAACCUCAUUAAAACGAGAUGGUUCUCAUACGAAAGGCUGGAGAUCGGUCUUGCUUAGCCGACUACAUAAAGAGGCUCCUUCAGGCCCAAAAUGCUUCACUGGUUUGACUCUCCUUGGCAGCACAGCCUGAUGUUUAAUCAGAGGAGGCUUUUUGACCUGCUGGGAAGGUGUUGUUGAUGAAAUGACAGUGAUGAAUUACCUCCAUGCGCUGUGACCCCAGGUGGUACAUUCACACAUCCGUAAUUCAAUAUUCCCUUCUUUUUUGUUUUUUUAAAUGAUGUCUUUUUUUUGCCCAGGAUGCAUUGAAGGUGGAUGAAUCCAGGUGACUCUAAUCAAUAAAAAAAUCAACUUUUGGCAA